Lathyrus oleraceus (garden pea) is the source of this 785-nucleotide long non-coding RNA. RefSeq lists it as uncharacterized. The transcript has 2 exons. Lineage: Eukaryota; Viridiplantae; Streptophyta; Magnoliopsida; Fabales; Fabaceae. The record is from RefSeq and is a predicted model, not a curated record.
AAGAAAAAAAGAAUGCUGCAUUGAAACUGAUUAAUACGAAUAAAUAUAUAAUUAAUAAAUCCUUCUCUCCCUCCUUCCAAAUAAACUCGGUUGUCUCUCUCUCUUACCAAGCACGCAUUCUUUCUCUCUCUCUCUUGUCAAGCGUGAAAAAAACAAAAAAAAUCCAGAUCCUCAUUGUUCAGAUCUCAAAUCGUUCAUACAACAAAGAUAUAUAUCUCAACCAAACUCCAUCAAAUGAAACAUACCUCAGAAUCCAUGAACGCACACAAACAAGCAUAUGCAAAUCAAUACUCAUAUCCUAUUUUGAACCCUGACACCCCAUUUUCAAUACUUUGUCUGUGUUUACAAACUACAAAUGUGAGAGAACAUCAAACCAACGAGACUAUUGAGAGAGAAAAAUAUAUCAAGCUAAAAAAAUGCUACCAAGAUGAAGAUUAAAGAGUUUCGGGGUCUCUAGGUGAUAUGAAGCUCUAUUUAUAGAGUGAAAAGAGAGUCUUGAAAUCGUGUGAAGAAUUCCUUCACAUGUGUGAGCAUUUGAGAUUUUGGAUAAGGAUUGGGAAAAAAUUGUUAAGGAAGAGCUUCCAAAUCCCAGAUUUUGUGGGUGUUGUGCGUGAAAAUUUUCCUUCUUUUUCUUCUCAAUGUAAUUUUUGUCUUUUCUAAACCUGAGCAGAUAUUUUUAGUGUAUUUUUGUAUUUUCUAAAAUGUAAUCUUCUUCUCCUUUUUUUUACUGAUGUAACUCUAAGUUAAUUAUUAAAUAUAAUCCUGUUCAUUUCAUUGAUAAAAAA